GAGAGGGUUUGACUUCCCCUUUUCCUACUUGGAUGCCUUUUGUAUCUCUUGUUCAAUUUCUCUGGCUAGGAUUUCCAGUAUUAUGUUCAAUAGGAGGAAUGAGAAUGGGCAUCCUUAUCUUGUUUUGGUUCUCAAGGGGAAUACCUCCAGCUUUUGCCCAUUCAGUAUGAUGUUGGCUGUGGGUCUGUGAUAGAUGGCUUUUAUUAUUCUAAGUUCACUUUUCAGGGGGACUAACAGCAUUUCUGAGUCUCCUGAGUCAAGAUCGUGUGAAGUUACAUCAUUUGGCAGUAAGGAAGCCAACAAGAUCAGCAAACCAUGUGUCAGCAUUUGUCUGCAGUCGUUGUUUCAGCCAUGAAGAAGGAGAGAAUUCUGCAUUUUGAUCAAAUCAAGUGCAAAGACACAAACGGUCUUGGGAGAGGAGGUUCAAGUGAGAAUCACAAGAGAGCAGGAAUUAUGAACCUAGGGCGAUCACAGGAACCUAGGUCCCUGCAAUACAUAGAAAUCUAAUGGGUCUACACAGUAUAGGAGGCAGCAUGUGUGGGUAGGUAUAUUCCAAUGUUUACUAUGUUUGUGCAAGUAUAGUAUUACAAUAAGGUUAUGACUCCAUUUCUUAAUGUUUGUCUGCUAACAACUUUUAAGCUUCUCCUCUUCCUUUUCCUCUUUUUUCCCAUAUGUGGGCAACCUGAUUAGAAAGCCUAAUACUUUCUCCUUUGGCACCUGCAGGAAGUUCAAGCCGCAUACAGGAAUCCUCACCUCAGUCUUCCUCUCUGAUUACAUAAAAACCCCAUGCUAGUCUUUUUUCCCUCCUCUGUCAAACUACUUUUGGAUUUGCUUGGAAUCUAUCUUCCUCAAAAAGCCUCA
This 861-nucleotide long non-coding RNA is filed under the name Homo sapiens (human). RNAcentral's name for it is "HSALNT0315419". The record is from RNAcentral. Lineage: Eukaryota; Metazoa; Chordata; Mammalia; Primates; Hominidae.